This 94-nucleotide non-coding RNA is filed under the name Bacillus sp. (in: firmicutes). RNAcentral describes it as "Bacillus sp. Glycine sequence". It matches the Rfam family "Glycine riboswitch aptamer". Rfam says of the family: This family represents the bacterial glycine riboswitch. Lineage: Bacteria; Bacillati; Bacillota; Bacilli; Caryophanales; Bacillaceae. The record is from RNAcentral. RNAcentral also lists the same sequence under 1 other name.
AUGAUAGUAGAAGGGAGAGACUGUCUUUCGGACAGCGCCGAAGGAGCAAGCCGGCAGCGGUGAAUCUCUCAGGCAAAAGUACCUCUACUUGACG